Molecule: ribosomal RNA, 253 nt
Filed under: uncultured bacterium
Lineage: Bacteria
Description: partial 16S ribosomal RNA
Rfam family: Bacterial small subunit ribosomal RNA
Source: RNAcentral
UACGGAGGGUGCGAGCGUUGUCCGGAUUUAUUGGGCGUAAAGGGCUCGUAGGCGGCCAACUAAGUCAGACGUGAAAUCCCCAGGCUUAACCUGGGAACUGCGUCUGAUACUGGAUGGCUUGAAUUCGGGAGAGGGAUGCAGAAUUCCAGGUGUAGCGGUGAAAUGCGUAGAUAUCUGGAGGAAUACCGGUGGCGAAGGCGGCAUCCUGGACCGACAUUGACGCUGAGGAGCGAAAGCUAGGGGAGCAAACGGG